UACGUAGGGGGCAAGCGUUGUCCGGAUUUAUUGGGCGUAAAGAGCGUGUAGGCGGCUUUGCAAGUCCGUUGUGAAAACUCGAGGCUCAACCUCGAGACGCCGGUGGAAACUGCAAAGCUAGAGUCCGGAAGAGGAGAGUGGAAUUCCUGGUGUAGCGGUGAAAUGCGCAGAUAUCAGGAAGAACACCCGUGGCGAAGGCGGCUCUCUGGGACGGUACUGACACUGAGCAGCGAAAGCGUGGGGAGCAAACAGG
Molecule: ribosomal RNA, 253 nt
Filed under: uncultured bacterium
Lineage: Bacteria
Description: partial 16S ribosomal RNA
Rfam family: Bacterial small subunit ribosomal RNA
Source: RNAcentral